UACGUAGGGUGCAAGCGUUAAUCGGAAUUACUGGGCGUAUAGCGUGCGCAGGCGGUUUUGUAAGUCUGACGUGAAAUCCCCGGGCUCAACCUGGGAAUUGCGUUGGAGACUGCAAGGCUAGAAUCUGGCAGAGGGGGGUAGAAUUCCACGUGUAGCAGUGAAAUGCGUAGAGAUGUGGAGGAACACCGAUGGCGAAGGCAGCCCCCUGGGUCAAGAUUGACGCUCAUGCACGAAAGCGUGGGGAGCAAACAGG
Molecule: ribosomal RNA, 253 nt
Filed under: uncultured bacterium
Lineage: Bacteria
Description: partial 16S ribosomal RNA
Rfam family: Bacterial small subunit ribosomal RNA
Source: RNAcentral